CAUGCCGUAAACGUUGGGCACUAGGUGUGGGGGGCAUUCCACGUUCUCCGCGCCGUAGCUAACGCAUUAAGUGCCCCGCCUGGGGAGUACGGCCGCAAGGCUAAAACUCAAAGGAAUUGACGGGGGCCCGCACAAGCGGCGGAGCAUGCGGAUUAAUUCGAUGCAACGCGAAGAACCUUACCAAGGCUUGACAUGCACCGGACGGCUGCAGAAAUGUGGCUUUCUUCGGACUGGUGCACAGGUGG
Molecule: ribosomal RNA, 245 nt
Filed under: uncultured Brachybacterium sp.
Lineage: Bacteria; Bacillati; Actinomycetota; Actinomycetes; Micrococcales; Dermabacteraceae
Description: partial 16S ribosomal RNA
Rfam family: Bacterial small subunit ribosomal RNA
Source: RNAcentral